GGUUACUGCUAUCGGUGUUCGCCUAAGCCAUGCGAGUCAUAUGUUCGUAAGAACAUGGCGUACUGCUCAGUAACACGUGGAUAACCUGCCCCUGGGUCCGGCAUAACCCCGGGAAACUGGGGAUAAUUCCGGAUAACGCACAUAUGCUGGAAUGCUUUAUGCGUAAAAUGGAUUCGUCUGCCCAAGGAUGGGUCUGCGGCCUAUCAGGUAGUAGUGGGUGUAAUGUACCUACUAGCCUACGACGGGUACGGGUUGUGAGAGCAAGAGCCCGGAGAUGGAUUCUGAGACAUGAAUCCAGGCCCUACGGGGCGCAGCAGGCGCGAAAACUUUACAAUGCGGGAAACCGUGAUAAGGGGACACCGAGUGCCAGCAUCCUAUGCUGGCUGUCCGGGUGUGUAAAAUACACCUGUUAGCAAGGGCCGGGCAAGACCGGUGCCAGCCGCCGCGGUAACACCGGCGGCCCGAGUGGUGAUCGUGAUUAUUGGGUCUAAAGGGUCCGUAGCCGGUUUGGUCAGUCCUCCGGGAAAUCUGACAGCUUAACUGUUAGGCUUUCGGAGGAUACUGCCAGACUUGGAACCGGGAGAGGUAAGAGGUACUACAGGGGUAGGAGUGAAAUCUUGUAAUCCCUGUGGGACCACCUGUGGCGAAGGCGUCUUACCAGAACGGGUUCGACGGUGAGGGACGAAAGCUGGGGGCACGAACCGGAUUAGAUACCCGGGUAGUCCCAGCCGUAAACGAUGCUCGCUAGGUGUCAGGCAUGGCGCGACCGUGUCUGGUGCCGCAGGGAAGCCGUGAAGCGAGCCACCUGGGAAGUACGGCCGCAAGGCUGAAACUUAA
RNAcentral lists this ribosomal RNA (837 nucleotides) under uncultured archaeon. Its description in RNAcentral is "bacterial SSU rRNA". It matches the Rfam family "Archaeal small subunit ribosomal RNA", at positions 21 to 859 of the family's 1478-position model. The record is from RNAcentral.